UGUUUGGUUCCACUUGCAAGUGUUCUAUGUUCUGAGGCUGCAGAGGGAACCCAAGCCUUGAAUCAACUCAUUAAUUCCUGAAUGAUAGCAUAGUCCUCACCUCUCAUCAAGGAACCUACUCUUUGGAACAUAGAGAGGUCAUCACAGAAAACGACAACCAAUAUAAGUGCAGAGUCCUAAGCCACUACCUAAAGACUAUAUAUGGACUGACCCUGGACUCUGACCUCAUAGGCCAAAUAGCAUAAAGAAGCAGUGCUAUAUGGAUUUCACAGGCGGUAGUCCUACACUUGAGAAUAUAAACUAUUUUUAAAAUAGAGCAAAUAGCAGGUGAAGAGGCCAUGGUUGGAGAGAGUGGCAGCUGUAGAAACAAAGAACGAUGUGAUCUCUCAA
Non-coding RNA from Rattus norvegicus (Norway rat), 390 nucleotides. The record is from RefSeq and is a predicted model, not a curated record. NCBI's taxonomy places the organism in Eukaryota, Metazoa, Chordata, Mammalia, Rodentia, Muridae.